UACGUAGGGUGCAAGCGUUAAUCGGAAUUACUGGGCGUAAAGCGUGCGCAGGCGGUGAUGUAAGACAGUUGUGAAAUCCCCGGGCUCAACCUGGGAACUGCAUCUGUGACUGCAUCGCUGGAGUGCGGCAGAGGGGGAUGGAAUUCCGCGUGUAGCAGCGAAAUGCGUAGAGAUGCGGAGGAACACCGAUGGCGAAGGCAGCCCCCUGGGCUGACACUGACGCUCAGGCACGAAAGCGUGGGGAGCAAACAGG
RNAcentral lists this ribosomal RNA (253 nucleotides) under uncultured bacterium. RNAcentral's name for it is "partial 16S ribosomal RNA". It matches the Rfam family "Bacterial small subunit ribosomal RNA", at positions 524 to 776 of the family's 1533-position model. The record is from RNAcentral.